This 20-nucleotide microRNA is filed under the name Callithrix jacchus (white-tufted-ear marmoset). Its description in RNAcentral is "cja-miR-3546". The record is from miRBase by way of RNAcentral. Lineage: Eukaryota; Metazoa; Chordata; Mammalia; Primates; Cebidae.
AUAACCCGGGCCAAAAGCUC